UCUAAAAAUAAUGUUAUCUUCUUCUAUAAAAACGCUUGAGUAGAAGCAAACCCUAAUUCUUUUGGCGUGGCUUCUCUGGUUGUUUUAACUUCUUCUAUAAAAACGCUUGAGCAGAAGCAAUUCAAGCAAACCCUAAUUCUUUUGGCGUGGCUUCUCUGAUUGUUUGUUUUCUUAUUUCAUUUUGUUUAUGGAUGCUUACGAAUGAAUUAUUGGUCUGAUAUCCGGUUGUCAUUUGUUUUGCAGGAUGUAAUGGAAACGUGGGCAGUCGAUUGGCGAUGCUUCUAUCCUUUGAAAACUGAAAAUAGAGAAGCUUCGAUUCUGGAAAAAAUGGUAGUAUAAGAGAACUCAUCUCAGAAGAUGUAAACUGUGAGAAUUCCACCUGUUGCGGCUGUCAAGAAUUCGGUUGCUUUAGCCAUGUACGAGCUCACAUAUAUUGAAUAGAAAGGGUGCACGUAUUAAGGUAAUAUCAUUUCAUUAUCAUGUAGGAUUAAGCUCAUUGUGAUUAGCAGCUCUGUUGGGUUCUUAUUUUAAUCUUUUGUGAAUUUUAUUAAUUAUUGUAUAUUUUUCUAGGAAGGAAAAAUUGAAAAUCUGAAGAAGUUUUUGUGUAUUGUUGCUUUUGGUUUUCAUCUUCUUAAAAAUUUCAAAUGACCUUUUAGCAUAACCUAGUAGUAAGGAAGAUUUAUUUCUCACAUCAUUGAUGUUUACCUUGGUAACGCUUUCUUUUAAUUCUGAUUAAGCGUGUCAAUCUUAAUAUGGGUUUUCUUUAUAUUGGGAAAGCGCUUUCGUUGGAUCUCCAAAAUGGUUUGUAAUUGAAUAUGGGUAUGCAAAGCAAACCAACAGUGAUGUGAUGUUUAGUUUGUUUUUUUGAUUUGUAAAGUGGACUGGGUAUUUUGUAUCAGCAUGUCAAGGGUGCGAGUCAUUUGACUCUAGACAAUGAAUCUGAUGUCAUGUUAUAUGGGUAAAGUUCGUGAUAAUGUGCCCGUCAGGGAAUUUAAUCAUCAUAGGUUGAUCAUUCUCAAUAUUUUUGCAAUGUUCGAUAAAGGAAAUGAAGGCAUCGAAGUCCAGAUGGUUGGAAUUGGCCAUCAGGCCGUGUUGAAGAGGGUUGUAUCGUAUCUUGCUUACUCAUUUUUCAAAUCCGACACCGUAGUGGUAAACUGUAUGGUUACAUGAGAACGAAAAGGUAUUUUUUCAAUUGAUAUCUCCCAUUUGUGCUUAAUUUUAUCUUCUUUCAGUUUAGCCGGAAAUGAAGAUGGCUACUUCGUGUAUAUGAGUCACCACCGAAGUUACCCUCUUAUAUGUGGGCAUCGGCGAUGGAGAAUUUUGAAUGUAGGCCAUCACAUUACAACUCAAAUGACGUCUGAGGAUAUCUCAUAACAUGCUAGAAUUGAUCCAAUGGUGUAUAUUUUGUUUACUGUCACCUUCUUCAAUGUUUGCCUAAUUAAUAUGUUAUGUUUUAAUCUUCCCAAUAACAUGAGUUUACAUGGAGUCCCCAUAAGAUCUUUCGUACAAUUGUCUACUAGACUCUUAACUAGCUAUUCGAUGGAGAUAAAUAGAAACCGUGGUCAAUUCGAAUGCGAGUUACUCCACUAAGUUAGAAUUAGAAAUUUAGAAUAGAAUUAGAAAUUUAGAAUCCUGAAUGUGGUCUAUUUUACACCAACGAAGUUACCGCCGGUGAGUUGAAGUUAUAUGUAGAAGAUUCUUUUGAUGGAAACUAAAAUGCAUCUGUCUUGCAGGUUGUUGUUGAAGUUAUAUGUAGAAGAUUGCUCGGGAUAUGCAGUGUUUGUCCUGAUUGGUAAAACAGCUGAACAGAUACUUGGGAUGAUCUAAGGAACUUCAAAAAACUCUUUGGUGGAGAUCAGGUACAUCAGGUGGAUAUAGCUGAACAGAUGGCUCGAAGAAUCCAACGUCGUGAGUGGGUAUUCUGCUUGGAGAUUAGGAAGAUAACUUGGGGUUCGAGAACCUUUGAGGUCAGCGAAAUAUAGCCAAUUCAGGCAUCAUCCGAUAAUGGUUUUGUAAAGUUAAUGGAACCUGAACUAAUUAGCAGCGGUCAUGAAUUUUCUCCCAGGACACCUGUGAAGGGUAAAGAUCACAAGGUUGUGGUGAUGUCGUCCGAUUGUGACGAUUGAGUGAUUUUAGACAAUCAUGAAUUUGGAGUAGGUUUGAGUAGUUUGUUUACAGUGAACAUGAUUUUAUUUAGUUUAGUUAUUUAUUUAUUAGUUCUCUCAGAUUCAUUGGAAUUUUGAUUUUAUCGAAUAAUUAUUAGAAUUUUACUGUCUAAAA
This is a long non-coding RNA of Papaver somniferum (opium poppy), 2280 nucleotides long. RefSeq lists it as uncharacterized. The transcript has 3 exons. The record is from RefSeq and is a predicted model, not a curated record. NCBI's taxonomy places the organism in Eukaryota, Viridiplantae, Streptophyta, Magnoliopsida, Ranunculales, Papaveraceae.